CACCCAUCGGGGCUUUGGAGAGCGUCCUGGGCUCGGCCGCUGGAGGGACGCGGGUAGCUGGACCUUGCGGGGAUGCAGGGUGCUACCUACGCGGGGUCGGGAAGAAAGGGUCCGGAAGAGUCCCCAAGAACCUGGGAUGGAGAAACUGAUGCUCAGAGAAGAAACUGAUCUGCCCAAGGUCACCACCUUGAGCUAGAGGCAGACUUGGAAACUGGAUGUGCGGGCUCCCACUGGCUUCACUCCCCACUGCCCACAUUUGGGUGGUUUUAGGUCUUUGUUGCUGCGCGUGGGCUUUCUCUAGUUGUGGCCAGUGGGGGCUACUCUUCGUUGUGGCGGAUUCUUAACCACUGAGCCACGAGGGAGGCCCCAAAAUAGCUUUUAACCAGAGGAAAGGGAGCUGGCCCUCUUGGAGGAAUGGAAGGAGAAGCAGAUGGCUGGAACAGAGGUUCAGGGGAAAAGAUACUAUGCACCUAAUAGGUACUCAACAUUUGAGUCAAUGGAUGAGCAAGUAAACGGUGGAGAGGCAGAAUGAGGCCAGCUUGCAGAUGGGGAUGAAGGCUGCAGAGAGCUCAGUGGCUGCCAGACCUCACAGCUAGUGAGAGGCAGAACAGGGUCCCUGCCUCCAAAGCAGCCCCCUUCUCUGGCCUCCUGCUGCCCUUGAGGAAGCCCUCAGCAGGGGCCCUCCUCCGUCUGCAACACAGGGUCACGGGGCUGGGCUUUCUGCAGCGGGUGGUGCAGGUGGAGGGGAUGAUCCGGCUGCCUGGCCCGGUGGCCUCUGCCUUCCCAGGGCAGCCAUCCAUCCUGCACUGAUUGGGUCCAGCCCAGCAGCUUCCGGGAUGAGCUGUGGGCACCUGGCCAGCGAGCUCAGCACCUUCCCUCUGUCGGAUCCUUUCUGUCUUUCUGUCUCUGUUUAUUUCUCUUUUCUCUGCUUUUAUUUUAUUUCUUUCUUUCUUUUGCCAGCCUCAGGGCCUCCUCCCCGGCCUUUCCCCAGGAGUAACCCCAGGACAUCCAGUGCCUCAGAAAUCACGGCUGCCCUCACUCUAGCUGUACCUCUCCUCAGCCACCUGCGUGACCCAGUGGAUAAAAAAGUACAAAGCAAGGGAAUACGGUAGUCACGCUCCCCUUUGUUCAAGCCCUUGGCUUCCUCUUCCCUGGUUGUGAAGCUCAGGAGGCCCGAAUCGGCCCCAUCUUUCCGAAGUAGAAGUGCUGGCCCGGAGAUCAGAGUUACGGGAGCAAGAAGCAAGGGUGGCAGGGCCCUGUGCCAGGCAGAAUGGAAAGGUGUGGAGGUUCAAGCCGCCAGCUGCCCUGCCUGCCGCGCUGCUUCUUCCAAACCCUUUGAGCAGACCCCCUUCCUUGGCGCUCAGAGCUCGCAGAUCUGUGAACCAUCCCUGCGCCCUCGCAGCCUGGUCCUGGCUGGCCUUCCUGAGGCCUUUGGCCCCUGGUUGUCGUUUUCCUCCUUCCCCAGGCCCCGCCUCAUCCUGGGGACUUCCAGCAUCCACAGGACACAGCGUCUGCCACCAGAGCCUCUCAAGGGAACCAACUCAAACCUGAGCCUCAGCCCUAGCCCCUGUCCACUCCCCAGAAUUUUCUGCUGCUCUUGGGCUUCCCACUCUCCCGAUGCUCUGGCACCCCACUUCACCACUCCCCUCUACUUGUUCUUCCAUGUCCCUGAGCCCCCCGGCCUCUGACCCCCUCACGCCUUUAUUUUCCCCACCUUGCCCGGCCCUCGGCCAGUCCUGGCAUUCGCUCCGUUGAUAUAUCGAGCCCCCUGGCCCCCAGGCCCUUGGCCACAGCUGACCACUGCCUGCCCUGGGUGGUCUGACCUCGACCUUCUCAGCUUCUGGCGCACACUGCUGAGAGCUGCUGGAGAAAACCACAGGGCGGGGCAGAUGGGGCCCCUGUGCACGAGGCCUCCAGGCCCAGCUGAUCCUCUUCCCAGCUCACUCCUCCACCCUCCCCAGAGGCUCCCUCAAACCUUCAGCCUGUUCACCAGCCUCCUCCCCUCCUCCUCCCAUGACUCAGCAGAUGACUUCAGCUUCUCCUUCUAGGAGAAGAAGGUUCCUGGGAGUCUCCCUGCCCUCUGCUCAGAAGUGCACCCCGCCUGCCUUCCAUCCCGGCUGACCCCUCUUCCAGGGCUCCUGACCUCCCCCACGUCAACAUAUCCACCUGUUCCUUCCACACCACCCCCAUCCUUCCAGCCUCUCUCUCUCCCCGGACUCUUUCCCCUGAGCAUUUAAACCAUCCCAGCCUCUUGCAGACAAAGGAAACCCUCCCUCUGCCAUGAGCCACCAGCAAUAUCAGAGUGUCUCUCCUUCAAUCUGACCAUUAAAUUACUGAUGAAAAUAGUCAUU
Non-coding RNA from Kogia breviceps (pygmy sperm whale), 2351 nucleotides. NCBI's taxonomy places the organism in Eukaryota, Metazoa, Chordata, Mammalia, Artiodactyla, Physeteridae. The record is from RefSeq and is a predicted model, not a curated record.